AAAUGUGAGUGUAAUCUUAUUGCCACAUCUUUCAUGUCAUUAAUCACUAGGGUUGAUUUGACUUAUUUGGCUAUAUAAAUCCAUGUUGCCUUUCUCUCUCUACUUCAUAUGCAUCCCUCAUAAAGGUUAAAGAGAUACAAGGGUCUUUGAUAAUGGAUAUAUGAAUAGUUGAACUCCUCAAAUAAAGGGGAUGAGGAGGACAAAGGCAUGAAGGGGACAGAGUACAUCACAGAAUCCCAGGUUGUUAUAGCUG
This 253-nucleotide small nuclear RNA is filed under the name Notamacropus eugenii (tammar wallaby). RNAcentral describes it as "7SK RNA (ENSMEUG00000018037.1)". It matches the Rfam family "7SK RNA". Rfam says of the family: 7SK was discovered as an abundant small nuclear RNA in the mid-70s but a possible function has only recently been suggested. Two independent studies have found that 7SK RNA binds the CDK9/cyclin T complex (known as elongation factor P-TEFb). The record is from RNAcentral. Lineage: Eukaryota; Metazoa; Chordata; Mammalia; Diprotodontia; Macropodidae.